UUAAGUAAGGAAGGGCGUACGGCGAAUGCCUGGCCACUCGAAACUGAAGAAGGACGCGCCAAACUGCGAAAAGCUCCGUGAAGCUGUAAGGAAGCGAAGAAGCGGAGGUGUCCGAAUGGGGGAACCCGGCAGCAGACAUGAGCUGUCAUCUGCAGGUGAAUACAUGGCCUGCAAGAGAGGUACCCGGCGAACUGAAACAUCUAAGUAGCCGGAGGAAAAGAAAACAACAGUGAUUCCCUGAGUAGCGGCGAGCGAAAGGGGAGAAGCCCAAACCGGUCCAAGGACCGGGGUUGAAGGACCAUGAUAUGGCAAAAGAGAGGAUAGAAGAACGGGAUCGAAAGCCCGGCCGAAGAAGGUGCAAGCCCUGUAUUUGAAAUCUGAUUGAAGCCUAAUGGGAUCCUGAGUACGGCGAGACACGAGGAAUCUUGUCGGAAGCAGGCGGGACCAUCCGCCAAGGCUAAAUAUAAACGAGUGAGCGAUAGUGAACCAGUACCGUGAGGGAAAGGUGAAAAGAACCGCGGGAGCGGAGUGAAAGAGAACCUGAAACCGUAUGCCUACAAGAAGUCAGAGCCCGUUAAGGGGUGAUGGCGUGCCUUUUGUAGAAUGAACCGGCGAGUUGCGACAGACUGCGAGGUUAAGGAGGAAAGACCGGAGCCGAAGCGAAAGCGAGUCUUAACAGGGCGAAAGUAGGAUGUUGCAGACCCGAAACCGGGUGAUCUAGCCAUGAGCAGGUUGAAGUUGAGGUGAAACUCAAUGGAGGACCGAACCGACUACCGUUGAAAAGUUAGCGGAUGACUUGUGGCUAGGGGAGAAAUUCCAAUCGAACCCGGAGAUAGCUGGUUCUCCCCGAAAUAGCUUUAGGGCUAGCGUUGGAAAGAACCUUAGUGAAGGUAGAGCACUGAAUGUGUGAUGGCCCCAUCCCGGGGUACUGAAUACAAUCAAACUGCGAAUGUCAUUAAGGAUGUCCGGCAGUCAGACUGUGAGUGAUAAGGUCCAUGGUCAAGAGGGAAACAGCCCAGACCGCCAGUUAAGGUCCCAAAAUACAGGCUAAGUGGAAAAGGAUGUGGGGAUGCCCAGACAACUAGGAGGUUGGCUCAGAAGCAGCCAUCCUUUAAAGAGUGCGUAACAGCUCACUAGUCGAGUGACCCUGCGCCGAAAAUGUACCGGGGCUAAGCCUGAUACCGAAACUGCGGAUUGUAGGAAACUAUAGUGGUAGGGGAGCGUUGUAUACGAGUAGAAGCCGUACCGUGAGGAGCGGUGGAUUGUAUAGAAGUGAGAAUGCCGGUGUGAGUAGCGAGAUGUAGGUGAGAAUCCUACACACCGAAAGCCCAAGGAUUCCAGGGGAAGGUUCGUCCGCCCUGGGUAAGUCGGGACCUAACGCGAGGCCGAAAGGCGUAGUGGAUGGAAAGCAGGCGAAAGAUUCCUGCACCCGUAUAUGGAGCGAAGGAGUGACGGAGACGGAUAGUGUGACCCUCUUAAUGGAUUGAGGGCGAAGCGAAGCGGCUGGUUACCAGGCAAAUCCGGUAACCAUAAGGCUAGAGCGUGACAGGUAAGCGAAAUCUACGGAAAGUAGCGAAGCACAUGAUGACGGCUUCCAGGAAAAGCUUCUGGCAAUGCAUAUGCGGCCCGUACCAAAACCGACACAGGUGGGCAGGGAGAGAAUCCCGAGGUGAGCGAGAGAACUGUUGCCAAGGAACUCGGCAAAAUGACUCCGUAAGUUAGCGAGAAGGAGUGCUUAAGCAAUUAAGCCGCAGUGAAGAGGCCCAAGCGACUGUUUAACUAAAACACAGCUCUCUGCGAAGUCGCAAGACGAAGUAUAGGGGGUGACACCUGCCCGGUGCUGGAAGGUUAAGAGGAUCUGUUAAGAGCGAUCUGAAGCAGUGAUCCGAAGCCCCAGUGAACGGCGGCCGUAACUAUAACGGUCCUAAGGUAGCGAAAUUCCUUGUCAGGUAAGUUCUGACCC
Molecule: ribosomal RNA, 1963 nt
Filed under: human gut metagenome
Description: bacterial LSU rRNA
Rfam family: Bacterial large subunit ribosomal RNA
Source: RNAcentral